This 717-nucleotide ribosomal RNA is filed under the name uncultured fungus. RNAcentral describes it as "partial small subunit ribosomal RNA". Lineage: Eukaryota; Fungi. The record is from RNAcentral.
CCUAGUCGGCAUAGUUUAUGGUUAAGACUACGACGGUAUCUGAUCGUCUUCGAUCCCCUAGCUUUCGUUCUUGAUUAAUGAAAACAUCCUUGGCAAAUGCUUUCGCAGUAGUUAGUCUUCAAUAAAUCCAAGAAUUUCACCUCUGACAAUUGAAUACUAAUGCCCCCAACUAUCCCUAUUAAUCAUUACGUCAAUCCUAGAAACCAACAAAAUAGGAUCGAACGUCCUAUUUCAUUAUUCCAUGCUAAUGUAUUCAAGCGUUAGCUUGCUUUAAACACUCUAAUUUUUUCAAAGUAACAGUCCAAAUUCCCCGCAACACCAAAUUAAUGGCAUUACGGUUCAUCAGGAAGGAGGAAUCAGUGAGACCAGUACAUACCAGAGGCAUGACCAACCUACUAACCCCGAAAUUCAACUACGAGCUUUUUAACUGCAACAACUUUAAUAUACGCUAUUGGAGCUGGAAUUACCGCGGCUGCUGGCACCAGACUUGCCCUCCAAUUGUUCCUCGUUAAGAGAUUUAAAUUGUACUCAUUCCAAUUACGAGAUCCUAAAGAACCCCGUAUUGUUAUUUAUUGUCACUACCUCCCCGUGUCGGGAUUGGGUAAUUUGCGCGCCUGCUGCCAUCCUUGGAUGUGGUAGCCGUUUCUCAGGCUCCCUCUCCGGUGUCGUGCCCUAACACCCCGUUACCCGUUACCACCAUGGUAGGCCUCUAUCCUA